UACGUAGGGUGCAAGCGUUGUCCGGGAUUAUUGGGCGUAAAGAGCUCGUAGGCGGUUCGUUAUGUCGGAUGUGAAAGCCCUUGGCUUAACCGAGGAAGUGCAUCCGAAACUGGCGAGCUAGAGUACGAAAGAGGAUCGCGGAAUUCCCGGUGUAGAGGUGAAAUUCGUAGAUAUCGGGAGGAACACCGGUGGCGAAGGCGGCGAUCUGGGUCGAUACUGACGCUGAGGUGCGAAAGCGUGGGGAGCAAACAGG
This 253-nucleotide ribosomal RNA is filed under the name uncultured bacterium. RNAcentral describes it as "partial 16S ribosomal RNA". It matches the Rfam family "Bacterial small subunit ribosomal RNA", at positions 524 to 776 of the family's 1533-position model. The record is from RNAcentral.